AAACGAAAAAUGUCGUGUGUCUGAGCCACGAUACUCUGCGGUAAUCAUCAUUUUUUUGUAAAAAUAUGAUUCAUUUGCACAACCGGCGGUGCAGAUGAACGACCGACUGACGAGCUCGAAGCGAAACAUACGGCUGCACAAGUUGGACAAAAAAAAGAGCAUUCGGCAGCUUCCUUCCAAUAGUCGUCACCGGACCAUGAUACUCCUUGUAGACGUUCUGCAAGAAGUACGUCCUUUACGCCCUCUCAAUGAACUACCCAGCCUUGAGCGCUUCCUGUUCCGUAAAUCCGCACACAUCAAUCAACCGCUUGAGAGCCUCCGCCUCCCGGAACGCUCUCCUCAACUCUUAUCCGAAAUCCGCACCUGGAAGUGCUUCCGGAACACCUCCCGGAUCAUCGUUACGGUCCGUUCCGCUUUCUCUGCUUUGUCAAUGCCCAGCUCGCCCAGCAGUUAGAUAAUGUCCAGGCUGGUGUCCACGACCCAGCUUACCACGACCUGGUUCUCAUGGCGCACCAGCUUCACCUGCGGGAAAUGAUCGAAGCAAUCCGAAUUCGUGUCUUAAAGUGUAGAAUACUUCGAAUGGAAAUGGUGCCCGAAGUACAAAGGCAAGGUGUACACCGGAAAACGGCGGAAAAUUGCGACUUGGACCUGAUCGAUCAGUGGAUUAAGAGAUACUUUUAAUGCUUUUGUUGGCUACGGCUAACGAUUGCAGCGUGAGUUUGGCAAACGCCUUCACAGAUCCGACUUCAGGCGGAAAUUCUGAGGACUUGUUUCCGGCGGACAGUCUUCUAACGGAGGACACUCUGCUCAAGUCGAUCCUUGAGGUGAAGGCGUCUUCGUUGCCCUCGUGUGGCGCCAGAUGCUCCAGAGUAACUCGGGCUCCGGCAUGAACCUGAGUCCGCACUAAGACCUUUCCCGAAGGCACGGAGAGGAAAAGAGCAACAACCUCCUGGACGAGGAGAACUUCUGGUGGUACGCGAAUCCGCUCAAGGAACGUGCCAGAUCAACCACCCGUGCUCGAUGCCCUGUCUCAGCACUUCCGUCCGGGUCGCCUCGCCGCCGACUUCACCGAGCACGAGAAGGACCCGCCGCGGUGACGUUGCCGGCCAUAAAGACUUGGGCAAGUGGAGCAUCAACAAAUACACGGCAUAUUUUUCCAAUCAAAAGCAAAACACAACUGAUUGAAUCAAAAUUCCGUA
Long non-coding RNA from Culex quinquefasciatus (southern house mosquito), 1199 nucleotides. RefSeq lists it as uncharacterized. The transcript is spliced from 3 exons. Lineage: Eukaryota; Metazoa; Arthropoda; Insecta; Diptera; Culicidae. The record is from RefSeq and is a predicted model, not a curated record.